GGCGGCACGCCUAACACAUGCAAGUCGAACGAAGUAGCAAUACUUAGUGGCAGACGGGUGAGUAACAUGUGGGUAUCUACCCUUUGGCCUGGAAUAACACGAGGAAACUUGUGCUAAUACCGGAUAAGUCUUUACGGAGAAAGCUUUAUGCACCAUUGGAUGAGCCCGCACUUGAUUAGUUUGUUGGUAGGGUAAUGGCCUACCAAGACUAUGAUCAAUAGCUGAUUUGAGAGGAUGAUCAGCCACAUUGGGACUGAGACACGGCCCAAACUCCUACGGGAGGCAGCAGUGGGGAAUCUUGCACAAUGGAGGAAACUCUGAUGCAGCGAUGCCGCGUGAGUGAAGAAGGCCCUUGGGUUGUAAAGCUCUUUCGUCGGGGAAGAAAAUGACUGUACCCGAAUAAGAAGGUCCGGCUAACUUCGUGCCAGCAGCCGCGGUAAUACGAAGGGACCUAGCGUAGUUCGGAAUUACUGGGCUUAAAGAGUUCGUAGGUGGUUGAAAAAGUUGGUGGUGAAAUCCCAGAGCUUAACUCUGGAACUGCCAUCAAAACUUUUCAGCUAGAGUUUGAUAGAGGAAAGCAGAAUUUCUAGUGUAGAGGUGAAAUUCGUAGAUAUUAGAAAGAAUACCAAUUGCGAAGGCAGCUUUCUGGAUCAUUACUGACACUGAGGAACGAAAGCAUGGGUAGCGAAGAGGAUUAGAUACCCUCGUAGUCCAUGCCGUAAACGAUGUGUGUUAGACGUUGGAAAUUUAUUUUCAGUGUCGCAGCGAAAGCGAUAAACACACCGCCUGGGGAGUACGACCG
Molecule: ribosomal RNA, 802 nt
Filed under: uncultured Pelagibacteraceae bacterium
Lineage: Bacteria; Pseudomonadati; Pseudomonadota; Alphaproteobacteria; Candidatus Pelagibacterales; Candidatus Pelagibacteraceae
Description: bacterial SSU rRNA
Rfam family: Bacterial small subunit ribosomal RNA
Source: RNAcentral